CCUACGGGGGGCAGCAGUGGGGAAUAUUGGACAAUGGGCGAAAGCCUGAUCCAGCCAUGCCGCGUGUGUGAAGAAGGCCUUCGGGUUGUAAAGCACUUUCAGUGGGGAAGAAAGCCUUGGGGCUAAUACCCUCGAGGAAGGACAUCACCCACAGAAGAAGCACCGGCUAACUCCGUGCCAGCAGCCGCGGUAAUACGGAGGGUGCGAGCGUUAAUCGGAAUUACUGGGCGUAAAGCGCGCGUAGGCGGUCUGAUAAGCCGGUUGUGAAAGCCCCGGGCUCAACCUGGGAACGGCAUCCGGAACUGUCAGGCUAGAGUGCAGGAGAGGAAGGUAGAAUUCCCGGUGGAGCGGUGAAAUGCGUAGAGAUCGGGAGGAAUACCAGUGGCGAAGGCGGCCUUCUGGACUGACACUGACGCUGAGGUGCGAAAGCGUGGGUAGCAAACAGGAUUAGAUACCCCAGUAGUC
This 465-nucleotide ribosomal RNA is filed under the name Vreelandella stevensii. RNAcentral describes it as "partial 16S ribosomal RNA". It matches the Rfam family "Bacterial small subunit ribosomal RNA", at positions 338 to 795 of the family's 1533-position model. Lineage: Bacteria; Pseudomonadati; Pseudomonadota; Gammaproteobacteria; Oceanospirillales; Halomonadaceae. The record is from RNAcentral.